This 136-nucleotide small nuclear RNA is filed under the name Terrapene triunguis (Three-toed box turtle). RNAcentral describes it as "Terrapene carolina triunguis (Three-toed box turtle) U2 spliceosomal RNA (ENSTMTG00000003186.1)". It matches the Rfam family "U2 spliceosomal RNA". Rfam says of the family: U2 is a small nuclear RNA (snRNA) component of the spliceosome (involved in pre-mRNA splicing). Lineage: Eukaryota; Metazoa; Chordata; Testudines; Emydidae. The record is from Rfam by way of RNAcentral.
AAACCUUGUCUGCGUCUCUUGGACCAUGAAGCACAAACAUUAUCUCCUAAGCUAAUAUCUGUUCUUAUCAGUUGAAUAUCUGAUAUGUCCUUUAUUUGAGGACUGUAUAUUAAAUUGAUUUUUGUGAGGACUUCCC